UGCAGUCGAACGAUGAUGCCCAGCUUGCUGGGCGGAUUAGUGGCGAACGGGUGAGUAACACGUGAGUAACCUGCCCUUGACUUCGGGAUAACUCCGGGAAACCGGGGCUAAUACCGGAUAUGAGCCGCCCUCGCAUGGGGGUGGUUGGAAAGUUUUUCGGUCAGGGAUGGGCUCGCGGCCUAUCAGCUUGUUGGUGGGGUGAUGGCCUACCAAGGCGACGACGGGUAGCCGGCCUGAGAGGGCGACCGGCCACACUGGGACUGAGACACGGCCCAGACUCCUACGGGAGGCAGCAGUGGGGAAUAUUGCACAAUGGGCGAAAGCCUGAUGCAGCGACGCCGCGUGAGGGAUGAAGGCCUUCGGGUUGUAAACCUCUUUCAGCAGGGAAGAAGCGCAAGUGACGGUACCUGCAGAAGAAGCGCCGGCUAACUACGUGCCAGCAGCCGCGGUAAUACGUAGGGCGCAAGCGUUGUCCGGAAUUAUUGGGCGUAAAGAGCUCGUAGGCGGUUUGUCGCGUCUGGUGUGAAAACUCGAGGCUCAACCUCGAGCUUGCAUCGGGUACGGGCAGACUAGAGUGCGGUAGGGGAGACUGGAAUUCCUGGUGUAGCGGUGGAAUGCGCAGAUAUCAGGAGGAACACCGAUGGCGAAGGCAGGUCUCUGGGCCGCAACUGACGCUGAGGAGCGAAAGCAUGGGGAGCGAACAGGAUUAGAUACCCUGGUAGUCCAUGCCGUAAACGUUGGGCACUAGGUGUGGGGCUCAUUCCACGAGUUCCGUGCCGCAGCAAACGCAUUAAGUGCCCCGCCUGGGGAGUACGGCCGCAAGGCUAAAACUCAAAGGAAUUGACGGGGGCCCGCACAAGCGGCGGAGCAUGCGGAUUAAUUCGAUGCAACGCGAAGAACCUUACCAAGGCUUGACAUGCACGAGAAGCCACCAGAGAUGGUGGUCUCUUUGGACACUCGUGCACA
RNAcentral lists this ribosomal RNA (966 nucleotides) under Cellulosimicrobium funkei. RNAcentral describes it as "bacterial SSU rRNA". It matches the Rfam family "Bacterial small subunit ribosomal RNA", at positions 56 to 1036 of the family's 1533-position model. The record is from RNAcentral. Lineage: Bacteria; Bacillati; Actinomycetota; Actinomycetes; Micrococcales; Promicromonosporaceae.